AUCUAUGGCCAUGCUACCCUGAACAAGCCCAAUCCCAUCUGAUCUCAGAAGCUAGGCAGAAUUGGGCUGGUUAGUACUUGGAUGGGAGACCACCUAGGAAGACCAGGUGCUGUAGGGG
Molecule: ribosomal RNA, 118 nt
Filed under: Pteropus alecto (black flying fox)
Lineage: Eukaryota; Metazoa; Chordata; Mammalia; Chiroptera; Pteropodidae
Source: RNAcentral